GUUUGAUAUGAACCACGCCCCUUACGGAAAAUCCUUUCCGCGUUCCCUUCUCCGGAGGUGCUCAAGUCACGCCCUUUUUUGGUACUCCGCAUGCGCACUUUCAGUAAGACUCAGGCCACGCCCCCAACUAAAGCCCGCCUUACGCUCGCGGUCCCACAGGACUUAAGCCCCGCCCCCUGGCCUCUGUUGCUCCCCAUCCCUAACGCCUCCGGAUGCAGGCCACACCCCUCUCCUGUUACGGUCUAUUGCCGGCCGGAUUGGAAACCCAACCUCGUGCGGAGGGCCCUCCUAGAGCUUCCCCACGCCGCUAGACGCAAGCCACGCCCCUUCCCGAAGACUUUUCCAAAUGGCGGCCCACUCAAGCCUUUAAACCCCAACACACUUGGUAAACUUCUGGCUCAGUUUUAAACUGUAGUUAUAAUCAAAUUUUCUUUGGCUACAUCGUUUGUUGAAAGCAAAACUCAAAGAAAACUAUUGGAAUGCUUCACACCACCAUCCCGCAAAACUCCUACAUUGUCAGGUCGUUGAAAAGCAUUAAAGAGAAGGUGUAGAGCACUGGGGACACAAAGACAGAACUGAAAAACAGCCUCUGCCCCCAAAAGGGCCUUCAUUCUACCAGAAGGAGAACGUGCCUGUGUUCACAGCGAAGUCAACGAAAGGUGAAUGAGUAUUGGAGACACAAUGGACAAGAUUACAACCUUGUGAGGUUCUAAUGGUUGGAAGAGAUAUGCCUCUCCAUCUUCUGUCUCUACGUCUUUGCACAGACUGUCCCCAUGCUCCAUUCUUCCUGUUCACCUUUGAUUGAAGGGAAAAGCAACAAGUGUUGGAGGAGAGGUGGAAAAACUGGGACACUAAUUCACUGUUGGUGGAAGUGUGAAAUGAUCCAACCAC
Phascolarctos cinereus (koala) is the source of this 891-nucleotide non-coding RNA. The record is from RefSeq and is a predicted model, not a curated record. NCBI's taxonomy places the organism in Eukaryota, Metazoa, Chordata, Mammalia, Diprotodontia, Phascolarctidae.